CCGACCCGCACGAAAGGCGUAACGAUCUGGGCACUGUCUCAACAAGAGACUCGGUGAAAUUAAGAUACCUGUGAAGAAGCAGGUUACCCGCGACAGGACGGAAAGACCCCAUGGAGCUUUACUGUAGCUUGAUAUUGGGUGUUGACACAGCUUGUACAGGAUAGGUAGGAGCCAUUGAGGCCGGAACGCUAGUUUCGGCAGAGGCGUUGGUGGGAUACUACCCUCGCUGUGAGAACACUCUA
RNAcentral lists this ribosomal RNA (242 nucleotides) under Staphylococcus haemolyticus. Its description in RNAcentral is "partial 23S ribosomal RNA". It matches the Rfam family "Bacterial large subunit ribosomal RNA", at positions 1983 to 2224 of the family's 2925-position model. Lineage: Bacteria; Bacillati; Bacillota; Bacilli; Caryophanales; Staphylococcaceae. The record is from RNAcentral.